CAAGUUGCACGAGAAAGUGGAGCAAUCCAUGAGUACAGUGGCGUACGGGUGAGUAACACGUGGAUCAUCUACCUCUUGGUGGGGAAUAACCCUGGGAAACCGGGGCUAAUACCGCAUAAGCCUGCAAAGGGAAAGCAGCAAUGCGCCGAGAGAGGAGUCCGCGGCCGAUUAGCUGGUUGGUAGGGUAACGGCCUACCAAGGCAAUGAUCGGUAGCCGGCCUGAGAGGGCACACGGCCACACUGGCACUGAAACACGGGCCAGACUCCUACGGGAGGCAGCAGUGGGGAAUCUUGCACAAUGGGGGAAACCCUGAUGCAGCGACGCCGCGUGAGCGAUGAAGCCCUUCGGGGUGUAAAGCUCUUUCGGCAGGAACGAUAAUGACGGUACCUGCAGAAGAAGCUGCGGCUAACUACGUGCCAGCAGCCGCGGUAAUACGUAGGCAGCAAGCGUUGUUCGGAAUUACUGGGCGUAAAGAGUGUGUAGGCGGUUCUCUAAGUUCGGUGUGAAAUCUCCCGGCUUAACUGGGAGGGUGCGCCGAAAACUGGAGGGCUGGAGUAUGGGAGAGGAAAGCGGAAUUCCUGGUGUAGCGGUGAAAUGCGUAGAUAUCAGGAGGAACACCUGCGGUGUAGACAGCUUUCUGGACCAUCACUGACGCUGAGACACGAAAGCGUGGGUAGCAAACAGGAUUAGAUACCCUGGUAGUCCACGCCCUAAACGAUGCAUACUUGGUGUGAGCCGUUCAUUUCGGUUCGUGCCGGAGUUAACGCGUUAAGUAUGCCGCCUGGGGAGUACNGUCGCAAGGCUGAAACUCAAAGGAAUUGACGGGGGCCCGCACAAGCGGUGGAACCAUGUGGUUCAAUUCGACGCACCGCGAAGAACCUUACCUGGGCUCGAACGGCUUCGGACAUCCUUGGAAACAGGGAUUUCCGCA
Molecule: ribosomal RNA, 932 nt
Filed under: uncultured Bacillota bacterium
Lineage: Bacteria; Bacillati; Bacillota
Description: bacterial SSU rRNA
Rfam family: Bacterial small subunit ribosomal RNA
Source: RNAcentral